RNAcentral lists this ribosomal RNA (406 nucleotides) under uncultured bacterium. Its description in RNAcentral is "bacterial SSU rRNA". It matches the Rfam family "Bacterial small subunit ribosomal RNA", at positions 28 to 440 of the family's 1533-position model. The record is from RNAcentral.
GAUGAACGCUAGCGGCAGGCCUAACACAUGCAAGUCGAGGGGCAGCACGUCUUCGGAUGGUGGCGACCGGCGCACGGGUGCGUAACGCGUAUGCAACCUACCUCUUACAGUGGGAUAGCCCAGAGAAAUUUGGAUUAAUACCGCAUAGUAUACAGAUUCAGCAUUGGGACUGUAUUAAACAUUUAUGGGUAAGAGAUGGGCAUGCGUUCUAUUAGUUAGUUGGAGUGGUAACGGCACCCCAAGACAGCGAUAGAUAGGGGCCCUGAGAGGGGGAUCCCCCANACUGGUACUGAGACACGGACCAGACUCCUACGGGAGGCAGCAGUGAGGAAUAUUGGACAAUGGGCGCAAGCCUGAUCCAGCAAUGCCGCGUGCAGGAAGAAGGCCUGGUGUAACUGCUUUGUCA